ACAAAUUAAGGCGAUGAGGCUCGCCGCAAUUGUCUAUUAGGACUGAUAGCCUCUGUAGAAGA
This 62-nucleotide non-coding RNA is filed under the name Chloroflexota bacterium. Its description in RNAcentral is "Chloroflexi bacterium Fluoride sequence". It matches the Rfam family "Fluoride riboswitch aptamer (crcB RNA motif)". Lineage: Bacteria; Bacillati; Chloroflexota. The record is from RNAcentral.